This 1582-nucleotide long non-coding RNA is filed under the name Homo sapiens (human). RNAcentral describes it as "HSALNT0317552". The record is from RNAcentral. Lineage: Eukaryota; Metazoa; Chordata; Mammalia; Primates; Hominidae.
ACCUCCGUAAAGAUGAUCUCUGAUGAACAGACAUGAUCAUGCCUGGAGAACAGGGAUGGACAGUCCCGCUUCUGAAAGACCCUGUCUGGCUGAUGAUUCAUGGUGCGCCGGGCAGACCCCAGGCCAAGAGACCCCACCCACAGUACCUGAGUGCUCAGCUGGGAACCAGACCAGACCUCAAAACAGGUUUGCAGAAUUAAGAUGAGGAGCUGAGCUCAACACAGCCUCCGCAGCUCCCCAGGGCGGGCCUGAGCCGAGGGAGAGCCCAUGGCCAUCAGGGUGCUGGAAUGCAUGUCACACUGCAUUACGUGCAUUACGAUCCACGCUGCAAUGACAGCCCAGAGCGUGGAGAACCCAGAGAGGGUGGGGAGAUGGAAUCCCGGCGAGCCAGCGCUGGCAGGGACCACGGGGAGCAGCUGGUCCAGCCGCCGGUUUUCCAAGAGAGAAGACUAAGAAGUGAGUCACUUGCCCACAGCCACAGAGAGAAGGAGGGCAACGAGGCCGGCAGGUCAGCAGCGAGCAGUUAGUUCAAGGCCUUGAGGGCUUCCACUAACUUUGAAGGGCGAGGAUGGGCGGAGCUCUGGAGGCCGCCGGGACCAGCCCCCCAGCAUUGACCUGGAUGCCUGCCACAGCCUCCUCCCUGGUCUCCGGCCUCCCACCUCUGCUCCUCGGUCUCCUCUACCCAGCCAGUAACUGCAGAGAGCACUAAAGCACAGUCCUGGCAUCUCACCCCCUUAACCCUGGCCACGGCUUCCCAGUGCCUCCAAGAUAAAGCACCAACACCUGAGGACAGCAGCUUGUUUUGAGAGUCCCCUCCAUUGAAACACGCACAUCUAAUUUGUCCUUCAGUUCGCUGGACUCCACGCUGAACGUGCCAUGCUCCAUUGCCCCGUGAGUAACUCCAUGCUCUUGCCGGUUUCACACGGCCUCUCAGAGCUGGAGCCUUUGUUCAGGAGCCCUGGGCAGCUUUCAGGAAGCUCUUGGGCUCAUCAGCUUCCUCUGGCUGAAGCCGCCCCAGUGGAAUCAUGGGGAUUUCUUACUUUGAAGGUGGGGCCACCCGCAGACUGUAACCGGCUGGUUCAAGAUCAAGGACUUCCCCAGGCCACCUGCCUCAGAGGCAAGAAAGGCUCAGCUGAGUCCCAGACACUCCUCGCUGUGGCCCCUCCUUCCUCCCUGCUGGGCAGGCCCCCCUCAAUUCUGUUUGCCAGCAGGGCCUAGUAACACUGAAAGACGAAAAGGGAAAUAAAAUAAACACAAUUAAUAGGCUAAAGGUUACUGAAUAAAGUGGCAGCAGUAAAUAAAUUGACUACUGUGCAAAUACAAAGACAUGAAGACAUGAAACCCCUGCUCUAAAUGACCACUCACCAAGAGCAAGGCCUGGGCUGGAGGCAGGGAGCACCUCCCUAAGGAGCACUCCCUCUUUCCCGGAGUGAGUCCUCCUUCUAGAUGGAAUUCAGUCCGGGUUCCUCUUGAGCCACAGUCCCUGUUGGGGCCUAUCUCAGUGGACUCAAGAUCCUGAACUUCUUCCAGAUUGCUGACUACACAUUUGAGUCACCCAGAGAUUAAAAGAAAAAACAAAUAA